Molecule: long non-coding RNA, 162 nt
Organism: Xenia sp. Carnegie-2017
Lineage: Eukaryota; Metazoa; Cnidaria; Anthozoa; Malacalcyonacea; Xeniidae
Exons: 3
Source: RefSeq, a predicted model, not a curated record
AAGCAGUUGGUAUCAACGCGUGUUUUAGAGUACUGUCAAUGAAAUAGAGGCGAGUUAUUACAUUCCUUUAGUCAUAUUAUUAGAAAUAUUGUUACUAUGUAAAUUUCCGCUAAUAUGUUUUUAAAGCGGUGAAAAAUAUACAUUAUGUAAGUUUUUUGUUUA